AACUGUUGCCUCGGCGGGGUCACGCCCCGGGUGCGUCGCAGCCCCGGAACCAGGCGCCCGCCGGAGGAACCAACCAAACUCUUUCUGUAGUCCCCUCGCGGACGUAUUUCUUACAGCUCUGAGCAAAAAUUCAAAAUGAAUCAAAACUUUCAACAACGGAUCUCUUGGUUCUGGCAUCGAUGAAGAACGCAGCGAAAUGCGAUAAGUAAUGUGAAUUGCAGAAUUCAGUGAAUCAUCGAAUCUUUGAACGCACAUUGCGCCCGCCAGUAUUCUGGCGGGCAUGCCUGUCCGAGCGUCAUUUCAACCCUCGAACCCCUCCGGGGGAUCGGCGUUGGGGAUCGGGACCCCUCACACGGGUGCCGGCCCCGAAAUACAGUGGCGGUCUCGCCGCAGCCUCUCCUGCGCAGUAGUUUGCACAACUCGCACCGGGAGCGCGGCGCGUCCACGUCCGUAAAACACCCAACUUUCUGAAAUGUUGACCUCGGAUCAGGUAGGAAUACCCGCUGAACUUAAGCAUAUCAAUA
RNAcentral lists this ribosomal RNA (524 nucleotides) under Trichoderma asperellum. RNAcentral describes it as "eukaryotic LSU rRNA". The stretch from base 145 to 298 matches the Rfam family "5.8S ribosomal RNA". The record is from RNAcentral. Lineage: Eukaryota; Fungi; Ascomycota; Sordariomycetes; Hypocreales; Hypocreaceae.